This is a long non-coding RNA of Panthera uncia (snow leopard), 1240 nucleotides long. RefSeq lists it as uncharacterized. Lineage: Eukaryota; Metazoa; Chordata; Mammalia; Carnivora; Felidae. The record is from RefSeq and is a predicted model, not a curated record. The transcript has 4 exons.
CCACCCACCGCUAAGCUCUCCUCGGUUGUCCACCUGCUGUAACAUCUGUGCCCCGAGCUUGGCUCGCUUCCCUGGACUCUAGGAUAUCCCACCGGAGGACGAGGGCGGCAGGCUGUGUGUGUGGUGUGGCGUCCGGGCACAGUGCGUGCUACCCCCAGCCCAUUCACAUUGGCCAAGCCAGGGCCAACCAAAGGGUAGGGAUUUUUACAAGGUUUUCACUGUCCAGGUUUGAAUGCUUCUAUUUCUAAGCUGCAUGAGUUCAAAGAUGAAAAGCACGUAGCACUGGGCCUGGAUCAUGGCAAGGAGUCAGUCAAACGCAAAGCAUCCACUGUCCUCUGUGAAGAGAUCAUGCUCUGGACACUGUUGUUCCCUCAGCUGGGACCAGGAAUCAAGAGUGGAGAAGAUGUGGCCUGAGGAGUACCUGCCCACUUGUCUGCUCAGUUCCCAUCUCGCCUGGCUUACCUGCCUCAGUUUCUGUGACCAGACCUCCAUAUGUCCACCAGCUGACCUAUCCACUGCUCGCCUAUCCCACGAGCACGGGGCGACAUCUCUCCAGUCACCCAGACCCAGACUAUGCCGAGUAUACACAGAAGCGCAGAGAAGAGCCGGAGGCACCCAGCGCUCGCGCCCAGCAGGCGUCACGAGACCCCACUUCUCUCUCUGGGACGUUUUAAAGCGCAUCUCCGCACACCAAGUGUCUUCGCCUGUAACCAUUUCAGUCGAUGAAAGGAGAUGAAGCGCGUACAGGUUGGAAAGGAAAAACUCAAACCGCCCCUGCCCUGUGCAGACCUAGGAGCCGUUCCCAGGGCCACCUGGGGAGGUCAGAUGACCUACAAAAGGUUGAAUUCCUAUGUACCAGCAAUCGAUCACUUGAGGCUAAUAUUAAUUAAUUUUUUUUUUUUUUUACAGUAUCUCCAGGUUCAGGAAGUUCCUUCCUAAUCCCGGUUUUCUGAGAGUUUUUAUCACGAACAGAUGAUUUUAUCAAGUGUUUUCUCUGCAUCUCCUGAGUGUCCUGUGGUUUCCUUUCAUCUGUUAGUGUGGCGGGCAGGGCGGGCAGUGACGCAAUGCCAGGCCCCUCUUGCAUUGUGGGAAGGAAUGGUGCUCGGUCGUGAUGUUUUUAUUCUUUCUGUAUGUUGCCGGAUUCGAUCUGCUAACAUUUUAUUGAAGAUUUUGCAUAGAUGUUCAUGGUUCGGUAGCUUCUUAUCUUGUCCUAUCUUUGUCUCUUGUUGGAGUUAGAGAA